AUACGCCCUGAGGGGGAAAGGGGGGACCGCAAGGCCUCAUGCUAUAGGAGCGGCCGAUUUUUGAAUUACCUAGUUGGGUGGGGUAAAGGGCUACCAAGGCGACGAUCAGUAGCUGGUUUGAGAGGGCGAUCAGCCACACUGGGACUGAGACGCGGUCCAGACUCCUACGGGGAGGCAGCAGUGGGGAAUUUUGGACAAUGGGGGCAACCCUGAUCCAGCAAUGCCGGGUGUGUGAAGAAGGCCUUCGGGUUGUAAAGCACUUUUGUCCGGAAAGAAAUCGCACUGGUUAAUACCUGGUGUGGAUGACGGUACCGGAAGAAUAAGGACCGGCUAACUACGUGCCAGCAGCCGCGGUAAUACGUAGGGUCCAAGCGUUAAUCGGAAUUACUGGGCGUAAAGCGUGCGCAGGCGGUUGUGCAAGACCGAUGUGAAAUCCCCGGGCUUAACCUGGAAAUUGCAUUGGUGACUGCACGGCUAGAGUGUGUCAGAGGGGGGUAGAAUUCCACGUGUAGCAGUGAAAUGCGUAGAGAUGUGGAGGAAUACCGAUGGCGAAGGCAGCCCCCUGGGAUAACACUGACGCUCAUGCACGAAAGCGUGGGGAGCAAACAGGAUUAGAUACCCUGGUAGUCCACGCCCUAAACGAUGUCAACUAGUUGUUGGGGAUUCAUUUCCUUAGUAACGUAGCUAACGCGUGAAGUGACC
RNAcentral lists this ribosomal RNA (702 nucleotides) under uncultured bacterium. RNAcentral's name for it is "bacterial SSU rRNA". It matches the Rfam family "Bacterial small subunit ribosomal RNA", at positions 173 to 870 of the family's 1533-position model. The record is from RNAcentral.